This 488-nucleotide ribosomal RNA is filed under the name uncultured bacterium. RNAcentral describes it as "partial 16S ribosomal RNA". It matches the Rfam family "Bacterial small subunit ribosomal RNA", at positions 30 to 507 of the family's 1533-position model. The record is from RNAcentral.
UGACCGCUGGCGGCAGGCCUAACACAUGCAAGUCGAACGGUAACAGGCAACAGCUUGCUGUUUCGCUGACGAGUGGCGGACGGGUGAGUAAUGUCUGGGAAACUGCCUGAUGGAGGGGGAUAACUACUGGAAACGGUAGCUAAUACCGCAUAACGUCGCAAGACCAAAGAGGGGGACCUUCGGGCCUCUUGCCAUCGGAUGUGCCCAGAUGGGAUUAGCUAGUAGGUGGGGUAACGGCUCACCUAGGCGACGAUCCCUAGCUGGUCUGAGAGGAUGACCAGCCACACUGGAACUGAGACACGGUCCAGACUCCUACGGGAGGCAGCAGUGGGGAAUAUUGCACAAUGGGCGCAAGCCUGAUGCAGCCAUGCCGCGUGUAUGAAGAAGGCCUUCGGGUUGUAAAGUACUUUCAGCGGGGAGGAAGGGAGUAAAGUUAAUACCUUUGCUCAUUGACGUUACCCGCAGAAGAAGCACCGGCUAACUCCGUG